RNAcentral lists this ribosomal RNA (492 nucleotides) under uncultured bacterium. RNAcentral describes it as "partial 16S ribosomal RNA". It matches the Rfam family "Bacterial small subunit ribosomal RNA", at positions 29 to 507 of the family's 1533-position model. The record is from RNAcentral.
AGUGAACGCUGGCGGUAGGCCUAACACAUGCAAGUCGAACGGCAGCACAGUAAGAGCUUGCUCUUACGGGUGGCGAGUGGCGGACGGGUGAGGAAUACAUCGGAAUCUACUUUUUCCUGGGGGAUAACGUAGGGAAACUUACGCUAAUACCGCAUACGACCUACGGGUGAAAGCAGGGGAUCUUCGGACCUUGCGCGAUUGAAUGAGCCGAUGUCGGAUUAGCUAGUUGGCGGGGUAAAGGCCCACCAAGGCGACGAUCCGUAGCUGGUCUGAGAGGAUGAUCAGCCACACUGGAACUGAGACACGGUCCAGACUCCUACGGGAGGCAGCAGUGGGGAAUAUUGGACAAUGGGCGCAAGCCUGAUCCAGCCAUACCGCGUGGGUGAAGAAGGCCUUCGGGUUGUAAAGCCCUUUUGUUGGGAAAGAAAAGCAGCAGGUUAAUACCCCGCUGUUCUGACGGUACCCAAAGAAUAAGCACCGGCUAACUUCAUG